CCGUCCGUGCCCCCUGUUUCCGGUUGAAAGUUAGUGGGCAGGUACGACAGGUACAGGUACAGGUAUUACACGUUACCGUCUGUACAGGUGAACCAUGCGGGCGUGCCUGCUGCUUCUAGCGGUCUGUGUGGCCGUACUGGCCCAGCAGACCCGCGCGGACACUGAAUACCACAGCGCCAGGGUAGAGAGUUGCAGUGGAUGACGCUUGAACAAACUCCCCAAGGUGAAGAGGUUCAUCCAUGAAGUGCUGCCUACCUUUCACCAAGUGGAGUUCAAGCCCAUUGCUGGGAAGAGUCCUGUGCUGCUGUUGUUAGGUCAGGAGGGAGAUGUAUUGGAGGAGUUUGACCUUGCACCAAUGAGCACAGACGAGAUCUCUGACCUCCUUCUUGAGAAAGGCUUCCGCAAGAAGGAGUCAGAAGAUGCUGAGGAGGUUGGAAAAGGCGAGCUAUAAGUAUAAACUCUGUAUUCCCUCCCUUUAGAACCUACUUGGUACAUUCCAAUUUUGCUUGACAGGGAUGAGCUCUCAGUGUUGGUACCUAAUGUGGAAUGUUCCAAGUUGGCUGAAGAGAUGCAUACAUAGAUCUAGAGUGCUGGGAACUGAGAACUCUUAUUUGAAUGGAACUGUGGCUUAUAAUAAGUAAUUGUGAAACGUGCAGAACUACAUGUGUCAUAGUACAAUAUAUAUCGUAAGGAAAUCUGCUGCCUAAAUUGACAAUGGUUUUGCCAUUUUAAACGUGAAUGUGAAGUCUUGAAAAUGAAAGAAAAAGCAGCUGAAAAUAGUCUUGUUCUCCCUUAGUUGCAAAAGGGGGAAAAAGAAUUGUCAUGUCCUUACAGUAUAGAUAUAUAACUUGCAUAUGUACCACUUCUUUUUAAUGGUGUUAACACUACUAUACAAUGCAGUGAUUCUAUAUGUUAAGUAAGACAUAUUAAAUUACUUUGUGAACAAGUGACACCAACUGAAUAUGAAAAUCCUGUAGAUGUACAGAGAAAUAGUAGUCUCCACCAUAGUAACAAUGCAGUCUGAGAGUGAAUAAUCUGACAUUGGAGUUUGGACACCAUUUGGGCCAAAACCUGAUGUACAAAACCUGCGCAUGCAUGCGAGCGUACGCCAAAUUUUUCCUGUGUGUAAGUCGGCCUUCAUUACCUUGAGGGCUGCUGUACAAUCUGAACAUGUGUCCUUAAUGUACGUCAAAGCAGGCAGAUUUGCACACUGGAAAAGUUUGACAUGAGCAGUUUUUGCACACUGGCAUGUUCAUGAUGUUUUCACAGUCAGGUUUUCGCCCGCAUGUAAAUCAGGUCCUACUAUCCAUAACCACAUCAAUAGCAAGACCUGGUGAAGGCUAGAGAAAUAGAUCAUGAAAACUUAUUAUUAUCAAUUAUAUAUGUUGACAAGUGUUAAGUGCCAUGUCGCCAGAUGAAUAAGUGUUGAUUGUAAUGACAUGUUGUAUUGUAGCUUUUUGACUUUGAAGACCUACAUAGUUGACCAUCUAAACCAAUGUUGGCUAGUAAGAUACAGUAAUAAGAUUAUAAUCAUGCAAUUGUCAUAUUGAGAUACUUGUAAAUUACAUGUGCGCUUAAUCGUAUUGAAUCAUAUACAUGUGUUACAAAUUUAAGUUGAAGAUCGUUAACUGAGAUAUAAUACCAAGUUGUUUACUCUGAAAUAUGAUAAAAAAUGAUAAGCGCUACAUGUACAUUGUAGGUGGAAUACUUUUGCAGAGCAUUUUAUGAAGCAGGAGAUUUUGCCAGUAAGACAUUUUCUUCUGAGUUCUCAGUUCCCAGUUGACCCCGUCUUGUCCCUGUGCUGAGGAUGACUUAUUGCUGCCCUGGAGCGGAGGCGUGUAUGAAACUGUCAACUGAAAGUCUACGGUUGGUGGUGGAGAAAAUUAGCCAGGAGCCCCAGGGCAGCAAACAAGAAGUCGGCUUGGGGUGAAUUUCAAUAAAGUCACAUUCCAGACUUGA
This is a long non-coding RNA of Branchiostoma belcheri (Belcher's lancelet), 1959 nucleotides long. RefSeq lists it as uncharacterized. The transcript is spliced from 5 exons. NCBI's taxonomy places the organism in Eukaryota, Metazoa, Chordata, Leptocardii, Amphioxiformes, Branchiostomatidae. The record is from RefSeq and is a predicted model, not a curated record.